GUAGGGAAUAUUGGGCAAUGGAUGCAAGUCUGACCCAGCCAUCCCGCGUGCCGGAAGAAGGCCCUCAGGGUUGUAAACGGCUUUUGACGGUGAAGAAUCGACAGGAUGCGUCCUGUUUUGACGGUAGCCGUUGAAUAAGCACCGGCUAACUCCGUGCCAGCAGCCGCGGUAAUACGGAGGGUGCGAGCGUUGUCCGGAUUUAUUGGGUUUAAAGUGUGCGUAGGCUGGAAGGUCAGUCAGCGGUGAAAAGCUGUCGCUUAACGAUAGUCUUGCCGCAGAUACUUCCUUUCUUGGAUGAGGAGGAGGCCACUGGAACGGAUGGUGUAGCGGUGAAAUGCAUAGAUAUCAUCCAGAACACCGAUUGCGAAGGCAGGUGGCUGUACCUUAAUCGACGCUGAUGCACGAAAGCAUGGGGAGCAAACAGGAUUAGAUACCCUUGUAGUCC
Molecule: ribosomal RNA, 445 nt
Filed under: uncultured bacterium
Lineage: Bacteria
Description: partial 16S ribosomal RNA
Rfam family: Bacterial small subunit ribosomal RNA
Source: RNAcentral